UAGCUUGCUAUGAACUGUUUUAGCGGCGGACGGGUGAGUAACGCGUGAGGAACCUGCCUUGAAGAGGGGGACAACAGUUGGAAACGACUGCUAAUACCGCAUGACGCAUAGAGGUCGCAUGAUCUUUAUGCCAAAGAUUUAUCGCUUCAAGAUGGCCUCGCGUCUGAUUAGCUGGUUGGCGGGGUAACGGCCCACCAAGGCGACGAUCAGUAGCCGGUCUGAGAGGAUGAACGGCCACAUUGGGACUGAGACACGGCCCAAACUCC
Molecule: ribosomal RNA, 266 nt
Filed under: uncultured Oscillibacter sp.
Lineage: Bacteria; Bacillati; Bacillota; Clostridia; Eubacteriales; Oscillospiraceae
Description: partial 16S ribosomal RNA
Rfam family: Bacterial small subunit ribosomal RNA
Source: RNAcentral